AGUCAGUCUGUCCGCCUCCGCACCGCUGUCCUAGAAAUGGAACUCAGUAAACAGAUCAGUUACCAUUUUACGUCAACCUGGACAUGAAGUGGACUGUGUUUUACCAGUGAUAUUUCAGACAACAUUAAAAUCGUUUCUAUUUACGUUUUAUUAUUUACCAGUAACACGUUGGGGCAUCAGCUGUAGGUCAGUCAAAUGUAAACACUGAAUGUGGACAGAUUUUAAAACGGGAUAUUCAUCGAAUGGGGCUGUUUUAUUACGUCUGCACAUGGUUGGCGUCAUGCUUUUGUCACAUACCAGCAUUGGUGCUGAAGCCUCACACUCAAGCUGCUGCCUGCAUAUUGAGAUGCACUUCAGUGAAGUCUCCUCGGCAGCUGCCAUCCGGUCUAGACGGAGCAGCUCCACUCUUAUCAAGAUCAAAGCACAUGCUUACACACUGAAAACCGGGAAGUGUGUGUGUUUGUGGUAAAAAACAGAGAAUUCAACGUGAACAGAAUUGCUGUUUUGCUUAUCAUACAGCAUGAUUUAUUCAAAGCUGGAAAAAUAGCUGAAUUCUGGUUACCUUACAAAAUCAUAGAAGGCCUGAGGACUUCUAUCUUAGUUUCUUUGUACAUUCAGAUCUCCUUUAUUUAAUGGCAUUUUAUAGCACACAUGUGGCUGCAUGGUUUACUGAUCUUCUCACACAUGCUCAUUCACUUGCUCAAGACCACAAGCAUUCAGCUUCCACAAACCUGACCCUGACAUAUAAGCCUGAAAUAGACGCCUACUUAGACAUGACAUCAACCAGUCUGUCAACCAGAGAACAGACACAUACUUACAUUUAGUGCACAUGUCUGCAGAGCUAAAUGACCUCUGCUUAAAAGUCUAGUGGGGAAAUCUCAGGCAGCUGUGCAAAGAAGGCAAGGACACAGCUGUAAAGUGUGUCUGUCUGUAUGUGUUAGAAGCCUGCUUCAGUGCAGGGUCAGGGUCCGUUAUAUUAUCACACCCGAAGAAAAAAAUACCCCUGCAUGUUCAAGGCUUUAGAUCUGCUGCAGGACAUGCAGGAUAGACAAUGUUUGUUUUUUACAAAUGCUUUUUUCAUAUGGCAGAGGGCAAAAACACCAUCAUUGGCACUUAAGCAACUCUACUCAUAUUCACUGCUAUUAGUUUGACGGUUAGUUCUCACAUUAAAGUUUACAAAGCUGCUUUUACUGAACCACAUUUGAUGGAUUAGAUAUUUUGGUAACACUUUACAAUCAGGUUUCAUUCCUUGACAUUAGUUAAUGCAUUAAGUAUCAUGAACUAACAAUUAAUUAUAUAUUUUUACAGCAUUUAUUAAUGUUAGUUAAUAAAAGAACAACUGUUCAUUGUUAGUUCAUAGUGCAUUAACUACUGAUAACUUUUGAUAUUAAAAAUGUAUUACCUAGGUACCAUUAACCUAGACUAAUAAAUGCUGUAAAAGUAUUGAUCAUUAUUAGGUCAUGGUAACUAAUGUUAACAAAUUGAUACUUAUUGUAAAGUGUUAUUGAUAUUUUAAUAUGUUGGUUUAGAAAUAACCUUGGAAGAUGAAUACAGGGCCUUAUUUCUUCACUGUUUCAUGUUAAGGGAAAUUGAGCAUGUUUUUUAUUAACCGAUUUAAUGGAUGAAGCACAUCAAAUGUUAAUUGAUUCGAUGAAUAAUACAAGAGUUUAAAGUACUGACAUAACCUUUCUUUCUCCUUUCAUAAUUUAUCUAAACCAAGCUUGAUUUGGUGGCAAAUGUAUGCAACAAAUAACUGGGUAUAACUCACAAAAUAAAAGUUAAGUUUAUUGCUGAACAACAAACUUCACACAUACAACAAACAGGCCAAGGUAAAACAAAUAAUGUAGACAAAACAAAUAGAAAGACACCACAACUCCUUUUCUUUGGCCUAGCCCUCCCAUACAAAAACUAGUUUUAUGGUACAACUAGUUAUGGUACAACUAAA
Long non-coding RNA from Myxocyprinus asiaticus (Chinese sucker), 1945 nucleotides. RefSeq lists it as uncharacterized. The record is from RefSeq and is a predicted model, not a curated record. The transcript has 2 exons. NCBI's taxonomy places the organism in Eukaryota, Metazoa, Chordata, Actinopteri, Cypriniformes, Catostomidae.